Molecule: long non-coding RNA, 283 nt
Filed under: Elaeis guineensis (African oil palm)
Lineage: Eukaryota; Viridiplantae; Streptophyta; Magnoliopsida; Arecales; Arecaceae
Description: long non-coding RNA (EGUI_LNC056607)
Source: RNAcentral
GGAGGCAUGAAACUUAAUUGAUUUAGCAAUGUGGGAUUAAUGAUUAAGGAUGGAAACAAAGAUUGGGGGCUAAGAUUUUUGUAAAUGGAUUUAUAAGGGCUCAUAAACAAUGAAGGGUUGAGAUUUAUUUUGGAGAGAAAGGGGAGUGAGGAUUGGGUGUUAAGAUUUAUGCAUGAAAGAGAAAAAGGGCACACUAGUUAUUUGGCUAUGGGUUUGCGCAUGAAAGAAUAAGGUGUGAAGAAGUCGGUGGGAAAAAAAAAGGUGUUAGUUGGUUUUAGCAUGA